RNAcentral lists this transfer RNA (87 nucleotides) under Felis catus (domestic cat). It matches the Rfam family "tRNA". From Rfam's summary of the family: Transfer RNA (tRNA) molecules are approximately 80 nucleotides in length. Their secondary structure includes four short double-helical elements and three loops (D, anti-codon, and T loops). The record is from Rfam by way of RNAcentral. Lineage: Eukaryota; Metazoa; Chordata; Mammalia; Carnivora; Felidae.
GCCUGGGUGGUUCAGUCUGUUGAGCAUCUGACUUCAACUCAGGUCACAAUCUCUCAUGAUUCGUGGGUUCGAGCCCCACAUGGGGCU